UCUGACUGGAUUAUCUCUACAAGUAAAAGCAGAUUAAAAGAUGAAGGAAGAAGAGGAGGAAAUUUCCAUUGUGGAUAAAUACAUCAACUUAGUUCCCUGCCAGCAGAAAAUCAAACCACAACAAGUCACGAUGUGCCUCAUGAUGAGGAUAGAGAUGGUUCCAGUGAAGGACACCCAGCUCAGCGGAUCUCCACUGAGGACAAACAACACCGCUGUGAUUGUGGAAAAGGCUUCAGGUGGUCGUGUGAACUGAAGGAAAAUCAGCGUAUCCACACCGGAAAAAAGCCCAAUGCCUGUAACCGGUGUGGGAAAAUUUCACCCCAGUCAGGAAAUUUGAAAACAACAUCAGAGUAUCCACACUGGAGAAAAGCCGUACGCCUGUGACUGGUGUGGGAACAGUUUCAUCCUGUGGGGAAGUCUGAAACGUCAUCAGAGAAUCCACAGUAAAGAAAACUCUUCUCCCACCUCCAUAAUA
Melanotaenia boesemani (Boeseman's rainbowfish) is the source of this 475-nucleotide long non-coding RNA. RefSeq lists it as uncharacterized. Lineage: Eukaryota; Metazoa; Chordata; Actinopteri; Atheriniformes; Melanotaeniidae. The transcript has 3 exons. The record is from RefSeq and is a predicted model, not a curated record.